This 549-nucleotide ribosomal RNA is filed under the name uncultured bacterium. RNAcentral's name for it is "bacterial SSU rRNA". It matches the Rfam family "Archaeal small subunit ribosomal RNA", at positions 723 to 1275 of the family's 1478-position model. The record is from RNAcentral.
AGUGAAUAGAUACCCAGGUAGUCCUAGCCGUAAACGAUACUCGCUAGGUGUCGGCCACGGUGCGACCGUUGUCGGUGCCGUAGGGAAAGCCGUGAAGCGAGCCACCUGGGAAGUACGGCCGCAAGGCUGAAACUUAAAGGAAUUGGCGGGGGAGCACCACAACGGGUGGAGCUUGCGGUUUAAAUUGGAUUCAACGCCGGAAAUCUUACCGGGACCGACAGCAAUAUGAAGGCCAGGCUGAAGACUUUGCCGGAUUAGCUGAGAGGUGGUGCAUGGCCGUCGUCAGUUCGUACUGUGAAGCAUCCUGUUAAGUCAGGCAACGAGCGAGACCCACGCCCACAGUUGCCAGCGUACUCUCUGGAGUGACGGGUACACUGUGGGGACCGCCGCUGCUAAAGCGGAGGAAGGAAUGGGCAACGGUAGGUCAGUAUGCCCCGAAUAUCCCGGGCUACACGCGAGCUACAAUGGUUGGUACAAUGGGUAUCUACCCGAAAGGGACGGAAUCUCCUAAACCAAUCUAGUUCGGAUUGAGGGCUGCAACUCGCCCUC